CACGUAGUUAGCCGUGGCUUCCUCCUCAGGUACCGUCAUUAUCGUCCCUGAAUACAGAGCUUUACAACCCGAAGGCCGUCAUCACUCACGCGGCGUUGCUGCAUCAGGGUUUCCCCCAUUGUGCAAUAUUCCCCACUGCUGCCUCUCGUAGGAGUCUGGGCCGUGUCUCAGUCCCAAUGUGGCCGAUCACCCUCUCAGGUCGGCUACGCAUCGUCGCCUUGGUGAGCCGUUACCUCACCAACUAGCUAAUGCGCCGCGGGCCCAUCUCAUAGCGGAUUGCUCCUUUAAUUGCUACUUCAUGCGAAGCUACAAUCUUAUGCGGUAUUAAUCUCCCUUUCGGAAGGCUAUUCCCCUCUAUGAGGCAGGUUGCCCACGUGUUACUCACCCGUCCGCCGCUAGCUUUGUUCCGAAGAACUCCACUCGCUCGACUUGCAUGUGUUAGGCACGCCGCCAGCGUUCGUCCUGCGCAGAGUCAACUCU
This 480-nucleotide ribosomal RNA is filed under the name uncultured Clostridiaceae bacterium. Its description in RNAcentral is "partial 16S ribosomal RNA". Lineage: Bacteria; Bacillati; Bacillota; Clostridia; Eubacteriales; Clostridiaceae. The record is from RNAcentral.